RNAcentral lists this ribosomal RNA (1464 nucleotides) under Triticum aestivum (bread wheat). RNAcentral describes it as "partial small subunit ribosomal RNA". Lineage: Eukaryota; Viridiplantae; Streptophyta; Magnoliopsida; Poales; Poaceae. The record is from RNAcentral.
AUGGCGGCGAGGCAGGGAGGAACCGGCGUCGGGGAAAUCACGGCGGCCGGCGGCGGCAUUACCCCCGGGCCCGGCAGCGCGGCGCGCACGCCGACGGCCAGCCCUUACCAGGUGCCACUUGAAAUAGAAGAGCAAAUUUACUCUCCAGUCUAUGGGAACAUUGCAGUCCGUGACAGUCGUGGUUGUUGCAGUGGUUUCACAGCCAGUUUCACAAAGAUUCUGUUCAUCACGCACCUCGUUGCUUUCAUCGCCCUCACAAUCUUUCUUGGAGUUCAGGCUUCUUCCCACCCGAAUCCUACCUACAAGCCGUUCGCCCACUUCAUUCCGCUCGCCUCUUCUGUGAUAUUAUCUAUUAUCGCUGCCUGCUUUUGGACUAUCCUUGCUGUCACUAAUCCUGCAAAAGCCAUCAAAACAUCUCUCUGGACAGCUCCUGUUUCCGCACUUGGCUGCGAUGUAGUCAUACUCCUCGUCGGUGAUGGUGAAGCCCUUGGCAUCGGAGUGCUCAUAGUUGUGAUCGCCAUUGCAGCGGCUCUGUACAGUUGUUGGGCCACUGGUCCGCGUCUCCAGCACGCCGCCGCAGUACUUUCCACCUCUGUCAAUGGAGCACAUUUGCCCUUCAGUGCUUCUUGCCUGGUUCUUUUUGUUGUCCUUGCCGCGUUUGGCUACAUGGCCUUCUGGACAGUUGCCAUCAGUUGCAUUUCAGCUGCAGAAGGGCACUUCAUGGAUUUCCAUAUUGUCUAUGUGGCUGCGCUCCUGGUCAGCAUAUCAUGGACAAUGCAGGUGCUGCGUUACUUCGUCUAUGUGGCCGUGGCAAGGCUGGCACAUGCGGCGCUUGCCCACGGAGUCCGCAUGCCAGGUGGUGCCGUCGAAGCAUUCUGUGGCACGAUGUCGGGGCCAGCUUUUGGUGACAUAUGCAUGGGGGCUGUGCUUGUCCCGGUGAUUGCAGCGGUGAGGAGCUUCGCUCGAGCGAUUAACGCCCUGUCGGGGGGCAACGACGAGUUCCUUUUCUCAUGCUGCCAGGGCUGCUGCCUGAGUGUCUCGGAGAAACUGAUGGGACGGGUGAACCGUUGGGGCUUUGUCCAUGUCGGAGCGCGGGGGAAGGCGUUCUGUGUGGCUUCGCGGGAUGUGUGGUCCCUUUUCGUUCUCCGCGGGAUGGCGAAGCUUGUUGAUUCAGACCUCACUGGUUCCUUCUGCUUCCUUUCGGCUGUCACGGGAGGCACCUUGGCCUCAUUGGUUGCUGGUUCAUGGGCUCUGGCCAUGGAUAGGGAUCGUAAGGAGCUUGCUCUGCCAAUAUCGUUCUACUCAUUUCUCAUCGGUUAUUACAUGUGCCGGAUGAUGAUUGCGUGGCCGCAGGCUUGCGUUGCAGCAUACCAUGUUGCAUAUGCAGAGAACCCCCAGAAUCCUCACCUGGGAACACUGAUACCAGACCACCUGCGGGAGCUCCAAGCACUAGCUGCAGACUGA